Molecule: long non-coding RNA, 1096 nt
Filed under: Homo sapiens (human)
Lineage: Eukaryota; Metazoa; Chordata; Mammalia; Primates; Hominidae
Description: MIR9-1 host gene
Source: RNAcentral
GGCAGUCCAGCCGCAGGGGCCACCCGAACAGUCUCUCCUCCUCACAGAAGCCUGGAGCUGGGCAUCCAAGAAGAAGCAGCCUCAUUUGUUUUCUGGUGUCAUCGUAGGUGGCCACCUAUGGCUUUUGGGCUUCUCACCUGGGGCGGGUGGGUUCUGCACCACCCUCCCACCCUCCUUCCUCCGUGUGGACGAUAGAGCCACAUCCAGCACCACGGACAGCUCCCGGGCGAUCCCAUGGGAGUAGAAGAGGUGUGAGCAGGUUGCCCAGCUGGUUAGCGGAAAUGCCAAGAUCCAGGCUCCUGAAUUUCAGCCUGGCCCUUUCUAUCUGUCUGAUACCUCCUUUACGAGUCUCUCUGCCUGCGUUGUGUGGAGCGGGCCUGCUGCUGGUUGGGGGAGUUUGCAGGUUGCCCCUAUGCAAAAAAGGACAGGAUGCAUGACUGGCAUGUAAGGUGUUCAGGAAAACCAGGAAAAGCCUUCAUCUCCUCGUCCUCCAGGCAGCACAAGCCAUUGUGGAAUCUCCACCAGGUGUACAGAACGGUGCCUCUGCGUCCUGCCACUCAGGACCUCUCAAGUCCCCGAUGUGAUGGCUCCUCAGCAUGAUCAGGAGUGAGCGUAAUUCAGACCUAUUUAGAUCCGUCAGCCCACGGACCAGGGGGACCUUGAGCAGGACAGUCUUUUGUCUCCAAGCAGUCAUUCCCUGUUAUACAAGCAAGAGUCAGGAGGAGGAAUGGUUUUGGCAUCAUCCCCCACAGACAGCAAUGGGGCCUUUAGGCCUGGAAGGAAGGACCAGGCUGCGGCUGGCAUAUGGAGGUUGAGCCCUGGGCACGGGGCAUCAGCUUCACCCGGCUGGGGAUGCCUUCUGCUGGGUUUGUCCAUCUGGCACCAGCUGGCUUCCCAGCACCGCCCCCACAACCAACCAGACUCCUCCUUCUGCUGUUGCCAUGGCAAUUGGCUGCCAUAUUGUACCUCAGAGCACUAGCUCCUAUCUGGAUUUUCCCGCGGGGUUCCUAGAGGGUGGGAGAUGGGUCUCCAGGGAUUUAUCCCUUUCCCCUGAUAUCUAUCCAAUAAAAAUUCAUAAUAACAUAUGAUUUUUUAA